CUGAUGCCAGCUCCAGGUGCAGAGGCAAGGCUGAGUUGCUCACAGGUAGCAGUUUUAUAGGAACAAGGCUGACAACUAGCUUAAAGAGACCACAGGAUAAAAAGGGCCCCAAACCCCCAGUAUCCCUUUUUUUGUAACUCUAUGUUCAUAAUUUUGUAUAAAAGAUUCUGCAUAUUAUAUAUGCCUCAAGUCUCAUAUAUCUGGACCUGCCUCUGGUUCUAACAGCAGGACCUAUAAGGGGUUCAGAAGUAUUAAUCUAGUUGGGGCACUCAAGGUAGGUUUUGUUUUUUGUUUUUAAACUUGUCUUCACCCUGCCCUUAAUAAAGCAUAGGAUUUGGCUGGUUAGGAAGAAGUAGGCCGUCAUCAAUGAGCAGAGAGAGCUUUAGGAAAGUAUUGGUCUACAGAGAAAAUUUUGAAGAGCAAAGUUUUGAACAAUGGGCAAAACCUUUUUUAUUUUCUAAAGUUGUGAUAUCCGUGAAGCCCAAGUGCAUCAAGCUUAAGUGCAUGGUUUGAUAAAUUUUACUGUGCUUAAAACCAUGGAAUCACACCCAGAUCAAGAUAGAGAACAUAGCCACCCAGAAGUUCCUGCCUUCUGAAUAUGAAAUUCAUAAUCCCCUUUACCAAGUUUUUCUGAAAGGCAGGGUAGGGCCUACAGAGAAUGCUGAAUUUGGUGUCAGGAGGUCUUACUUGGUGUUGACCUACCAAUGGUAUGACUUUUCAGAGAGAGAAUUCAUCCCAUGGCCGGGGGUGGUAGUGCAGGGAUUCCCUCCCUUUCUUUCUUCAUGCUGAGGAUCUGGAACCCCCUGCACUCUGAUUGUCACGUCCAACUUCACACGUGGGUGGCAAAAAGUAUUAUCCAUAAUCUGGCCAGCAAUUUUGGAAUUUCACUGAUGCCUGCAGGUCUGUCUCCCAUUCAGGUCAUAUGACUGUGGACUAAGCAUUUCCCUUUGCCUUAGGUUCUUUGAAGAGUCCUACUUGCCACAUUCAGUCGGAGAAGGUGUCACAUCAAAUUCCUUCAUUUUCCUCCCUAUCUGCUAAUCAGUAGCUUUCGUCUUUGGCAGAGAGGUGGGAUGAAGCCCAAAGUCUCCUGAUGAAGGGUGGAGGAGAGAGAAAGAGUUCUAAUAGGGAAGCGGAGCUGGAGGAAGGAUGGGAAGUGCAGGGCAGAAGAUGCCAGCUCUUCCUACACCUGGACCACUUUUCCCAGCCCCACUGUGAGCCAGGCUGGGCGAAGCCCUUUCCUGGAGGAGAAAAAGCAAAAAAGUGAACAAUAUCCAUACAAUGCACUGCCCCCUCAGCCCCUCCUCUUCUGUCUCCUCUGUGUCACUAACUUCAAAUGCCCUGCAGGAAGCAAUUACAGUAUUCUAAUGAGUGCAGUUUCCAAUAACUGCAUUGUCGGGUGUGUUACCUCCUCAUCUGCAUGCUGACCGACACCUCCUCAUCUCAGAUCACCUUUCCCAGCACUGAGGCUGCCUGCCUGGUGCUUACUAGCUGGCUGGCCAUCUCCGGGCAGAGGCACCAGGGACGAGGAACCAUAAGAACACCUGUGGGGAUUCCGUGCCAAGCCAGGUCACUGAGAGUUUGGGAUGAGUCUGCAGGAGGACUCUGGGCCAGAUUGGCCCGGGAAUAAACCAGUCAGGUUGGUGGCUUUAGACACAGUUCACAUGCUUGAAGUGGUCUUUGGAGACUAAAAUAAAAUGCCACCUUAGAGGGAAAAAAAAAUGUCCCCAUGGCCUAGAUAGAUUAUAGAGAAGGGGUAAAGUGUAAUCAUUAAGAGCAUGGCUAUAGAAGUCAGGAAGACUUAUCUGAGACCAGCGUCUCCAUCGCUUCCUAGCUGUGUGACUUCCAGCAAGUUAAUUAAUUUCUAAAAUAAGCCUCAGUUUCACCAUCUAUGAAAUGGGAAUAAUAACAACCCCUACCUGAAUGGUUGUAAGUGUUUGAUGGAUAGUGAAUGUGCAAAACUCUCAGCAUUUUGUCUUGGCUCGCUGACUAAAAUGGAGCUAUUAUGGUUCUAAUACAACAUGGUCUAAUAAAGAUGGAAAAAAAUAUAAACAUGAAUUUUUGUCACUCACUGACCAAGAACUGUCCCCUCUCUCUGGCUCAAUUCCUGGGUUCAGGCCCAGGACUCUAUUCAGCACUUUCACCCACUUACCUCUAUUCUGUGUGGCCGUUACAAACAUGAAAUAAAUUUCCACGUACUUGGAGAUAAACUCUUUCAGAUGUAGCUAGUGAGAAAGGUAUGCUUUUUUUUUUAUUAUUAUUAUUCACAAUGUAUGUGUAUCUAUGUAGGUGUGAAAAUGCGUAAAACCACAUUGACCAUGGUCUCCCCCAAGGGGUGCGUGAAAAUGAUGGGGACGGAGCAGGAAGGGAGAUAAUUUCACAUUUUACUCUGGCUACUCCUAGAUUCUCCAGAUCUUUUAAAAGAGGAAAGUAUUCAGGCAUACCUUCUGCAAUGAAAAAGAGAAUCAAGAUGUGUUUAAGUGGACCAAAGUCCAAGGAUGUGUUAGUGUUGCUCUUUGGGAUCUCUGCAGGGCCUCCCCACUGAGCCAUUCUACACCCACCUCUUGCAAAGCAAAACAGCCAUCCCUUAUGUGUCAAAAUUAUAUCUAAAUUAAAAAAAAUACCUAUUAAAGUGCAAAACAGUCACCCUUUACCACCUGCUACUUGUUAUAAGUCCUUCUUUCUCGAGAGUUCACAGGAGACUGUCUCUCAAGCUUCUGACCCUCUUACCCAUUGAUUAUAAGGAUUUGGGAGUCUUAUACUCCUUAAAGUGUUUUCUAAAAAGUGACAGGAGUUCCUGUUGGGGUGCAGCAGUAACGAACCCGACUUGUAUCCAUGAGGACUCGGGUUUCAUCCCUGGCCUUGUGCAGUGGGUUAAGGAUCUGGUGUUGCCAUGAGCUAUGGUGUAAGUCACAGACAUGACUCAAAUCUGGCAUUGCUGUGGCUGUGGUGUAGGUGGGCAGCUGCAGCUCCAAUUCACCCCCAAGCCUAGGAACUUCUAUAUGACAUGGGUGCGGUCC
This 3017-nucleotide long non-coding RNA is filed under the name Sus scrofa (pig). Its description in RNAcentral is "lncRNA (ENSSSCG00000057899.1)". The record is from RNAcentral. Lineage: Eukaryota; Metazoa; Chordata; Mammalia; Artiodactyla; Suidae.